UUGCCAUGAUGACCAUCUUAGGACACCUUUGGAAUUCUCCAUGAAAACAAAUUGAUUGUCUGAGCAAC
Electrophorus electricus (electric eel) is the source of this 68-nucleotide small nucleolar RNA. Its record names the gene SNORD58. It matches the Rfam family "Small nucleolar RNA SNORD58". Rfam says of the family: snoRNA U58 is found in introns 1, 3 and 6 of the ribosomal protein RPL17 gene in humans. U58 is a member of the C/D class of snoRNA which contain C (UGAUGA) and D (CUGA) box motifs. Most of the members of the box C/D family function in directing site-specific 2'-O-methylation of substrate RNAs. Lineage: Eukaryota; Metazoa; Chordata; Actinopteri; Gymnotiformes; Gymnotidae. The record is from Ensembl.